Molecule: ribosomal RNA, 450 nt
Filed under: Triticum aestivum (bread wheat)
Lineage: Eukaryota; Viridiplantae; Streptophyta; Magnoliopsida; Poales; Poaceae
Description: partial small subunit ribosomal RNA
Source: RNAcentral
GUUGGCAGCCUUGUCUAUCUUGCUGUUACGCGUCCUGACAUCUCCUAUCCUGUCCACAUCCUGAGUCAAUUUGUGUCAGCUCCCACCUCUGUCCACUAUAGUCACCUCCUCCGUGUCCUACGAUAUCUUCGUGGCACGAUCUCUCAGCGCCUUUUCUUUCCCCGCUCCAGCUCUCUUGAGCUCCAGGCCUACUCUGAUGCUACCUGGGCUAGUGAUCCCUCUAAUCGACGCUCGCUAUCUGCUUACUGUGUCUUCCUUGGUGGCUCUCUUAUUGCCUGGAAGACAAAGAAACAGACUGCAGUUUCUCGCUCAAGUACAGAGGCUAAGUUGCGAGCCAUGGCUAUGUUGACGACUGAGGUGAUCUGGUUACGGUGGUUACUUGAGGAUUUUGGUGUGUCUUCUACUACCUCAACUCCUCUCCUGUCCGACAGUACCGGUGCCAUCAGUAUU